RNAcentral lists this ribosomal RNA (735 nucleotides) under Triticum aestivum (bread wheat). RNAcentral describes it as "partial small subunit ribosomal RNA". The record is from RNAcentral. Lineage: Eukaryota; Viridiplantae; Streptophyta; Magnoliopsida; Poales; Poaceae.
AUGGGGGCGGCGCCGUCGAGACAGGAGGCGUCCACCGCCUCGUCGCCCACCGGCGAUGGCCGUGUCAUGCCGGCGGCGCUCAGCGCUUCUACUACUUCCGACACCGCCAACCAGGCCCAGUCCAAGAGGGCGCCGGCUCCUCACAUGCUCCGGGAGAUCGUCGCCGGGGAGAAUGUCGCCGACGUAGCCGCGCUGGAAGAUCAGGUCUCCACCGGGAUCUUCUUGGCCGGGAAAACAAAGAAGUACUGGGUAGAUGAGAGGACCAGGCACAACUGCUUCAUGCUGUUCCCCAGAGGCCUGCACAUCACCUGGAGCGAAGACCCCAAAUACUGGACUUGGCACCCCCUGAAAGAAGGAAGCGAGGCCGAAGCCGGAAUCGAGACGGUGGCGCUGCAGAACGUCUGCUGGCUGGAGGUCCAAGGGAAGCUGGAGCUGUCCCUUCUCACACCAGGAGUCACCUACGAGGUCUUCUUCGAGGUGAAGCUCAAUGACCCAGCCUACGGAUGGUCGACGCCGGUGAACCUCCGGCUCAAGUUCCCCGACGGUACGAUCCAGCAGCACAAGGAGAACCUGGAGGAGAAGCCCAGGGGGAAGUGGCUGCAGGUCAAGGUUGGGGAGGUUAAGCCGCACAAGGGGCAGAAUGGAGAGGCAGAGAUCUCCAUGUUUGAGUAUGAUGGUGGGCAGUGGAAGAGGGGGCUCCUCAUCAAGGGCAUCAAGAUCAUCCCAAAAGAAUGA